This 524-nucleotide ribosomal RNA is filed under the name uncultured bacterium. RNAcentral's name for it is "partial 16S ribosomal RNA". It matches the Rfam family "Bacterial small subunit ribosomal RNA", at positions 28 to 523 of the family's 1533-position model. The record is from RNAcentral.
GACGAACGCUGGCGGCGUGCUUAACACAUGCGAGUCGAACGGACAGACAGAGAGCUUGCUCUCUUGAAGUUAGUGGCGAACGGGUGAGUAACGCGUAAUCAACCUGCCCUUCAGAGGGGGAUAACAACGGGAAACCGUUGCUAAUACCGCGUACGAUUCAUGAACGGCAUCGUUUAGGAAUGAAAGGUGGCCUCUAUGUAUAAGCUAUCGCUGCAGGAGGGGAUUGCGUCUGAUGAGCUAGUUGGAGGGGUAACGGCCCACCAAGGCGAUGAUCAGUAGCCGGUCUGAGAGGAUGAACGGCCACAUUGGGACUGAGACACGGCCCAAACUCCUACGGGAGGCAGCAGUGGGGAAUCUUCCGCAAUGGACGAAAGUCUGACGGAGCAACGCCGCGUGAGUGAUGUAGGUCUUCGGAUUGUAAAGCUCUGUUAAUCGGGACGAAAGAGUUCUGCGUGAAUAAUGCAGAAAAGUGACGGUACCGGAAUAGAAAGCCACGGCUAACUACGUGCCAGCCGCCGCAGUAA